UACGGAGGGGGCUAGCGUUGUUCGGAAUCACUGGGCGUAAAGCGCACGUAGGCGGCUAUUUAAGUCAGAGGUGAAAGCCUGGAGCUUAACUCCAGAACUGCCUUUGAAACUAGAUGGCUUGAACAUGGGAGAGGUAAGUGGAAUUCCGAGUGUAGAGGUGAAAUUCGUAGAUAUUCGGAAGAACACCAGUGGCGAAGGCGGCUUACUGGACCAUUGUUGACGCUGAGGUGCGAAAGCGUGGGGAGCAAACAGG
RNAcentral lists this ribosomal RNA (253 nucleotides) under uncultured bacterium. RNAcentral describes it as "partial 16S ribosomal RNA". It matches the Rfam family "Bacterial small subunit ribosomal RNA", at positions 524 to 776 of the family's 1533-position model. The record is from RNAcentral.